UUAGUACUUGAAACACUAUACAUUUCACCUUCUUUUUAUGCUAUUCUCCAUUUUUAUUUGUUUUAUAUGUUUCAAUACUAUGCUGUGGAUAUAAUAGUAAAAAGGAUUCCUUAGCUUGCAUCUAUGUAAUGAGAUCAAACAUUGGAUUUGAGGAGAGACACAAACACAAAUAUGACAGAAGUUGAAGCAAGAAGUUCUGUUUUUCAACCUUCAAAUCCUCUUUCAUAUAUCCAGUGAAAAUGAGGAAAGAUCCUAAGGUUGGAAGAAAUCGUGGAGGAGACUUUUAAAGUUACU
This is a non-coding RNA of Lupinus albus (white lupine), 294 nucleotides long. The record is from the annotation of a GenBank genome assembly. NCBI's taxonomy places the organism in Eukaryota, Viridiplantae, Streptophyta, Magnoliopsida, Fabales, Fabaceae.